AUAACACUUAGAAAUAGGUGCCAAUACCGCAUAAGCGCACGGAGCCGCAUGGCUUAGUGUGAAAAACUCCGGUGGUGUAAGAUGGAUCCGCGUCCGAUUAGCUGGUUGGCGGGGUAGAAGCCCACCAAGGCGACGAUCAGUAGCCGGCCUGAGAGGGUGAACGGCCACAUUGGGACUGAGACACGGCCCAAACUCCUACGGGAGGCAGCAGUGGGGAAUAUUGCACAAUGGGGGAAACCCUGAUGCAGCAACGCCGCGUGAGUGAAGAAGUCAUUCGUGAUGUAAAGCUCUAUCAGCAGGGAAGAAAAUGACGGUACCUGAGUAAGAAGCCCCGGCUAACUACGUGCCAGCAGCCGCGGUAAUACGUAGGGGGCAAGCGUUAUCCGGAUUUACUGGGUGUAAAGGGAGCGUAGACGGCCAGACAAGUCUGAAGUGAAAAUCCAGCGCUUAACGUUGGAAGUGCUUUGGAAACUGCCGGGCUAGAGUGCAGGAGGGGCAGGCGGAAUUCCUAGUGUAGCGGUGAAAUGCGUAGAUAUUAGGAGGAACACCAGUGGCGAAGGCGGCCUGCUGGACUGCAACUGACGUUGAGGCUCGAAGGCGUGGGGAGCAAACAGGAUUAGAUGCCCUGGUAGUCCACGCGGUAAACGAUGAUUACUAGGUGUCGGGGGGCUAGAGCCCUUCGGUG
Molecule: ribosomal RNA, 685 nt
Filed under: uncultured bacterium
Lineage: Bacteria
Description: bacterial SSU rRNA
Rfam family: Bacterial small subunit ribosomal RNA
Source: RNAcentral